This 405-nucleotide ribosomal RNA is filed under the name uncultured bacterium. RNAcentral's name for it is "partial 16S ribosomal RNA". It matches the Rfam family "Bacterial small subunit ribosomal RNA", at positions 30 to 526 of the family's 1533-position model. The record is from RNAcentral.
AUUGAACGCUAGCGGCAUGCCUAAUACAUGCAAGUCGAACGAGUGGCGGACGGGUGAGUAAUGUAUCGGAACUUGCCCAGUAGCGGGGGAUAACUACUCGAAACGGUGGCUAAUACCGCAUACUAUUGGAGUAGCCCAUAUCGGAUUAGCUAGUAGGUGGGGUAAAGGCUCACCAAGGCAACGAUCCGUAGCUGGUUUGAGAGGAUGAACGGCCACACUGGGACUGAGACACGGCCCAGACUCCGACGGGAGGCAGCAGUGGGGAAUUUUGGGCAAUGGGGGAAACCCUGAUGGAGCCAUCCCGCGUGUGUGAGAAGGCCUUCGGGUUGUAAAGUACUUUUGGCAGGGAAGCGGUAUCUGCAGAGAAAGCACCGGCUAACUACGUGCCAGCAGCCGCGGUAAUUC